UUUUCGGAGGUACUCGAGUGGCGAACGGGUGAGUAACACGUGGGUGAUCUGCCCUGCACUCUGGAUAAGCCUGGGAAACUGGGUCUAAUACCGGAUAGGACCGCACUUUAGUGUGUGUGGUGGAAAGUUUUUUCGGUGUAGGAUGAGCCCGCGGCCUAUCAGCUUGUUGGUGGGGUAAUGGCCUACCAAGGCGGCGACGGGUAGCCGGACUGAGAGGUUGGUCGGCCACAUUGGGACUGAGAUACGGCCCAG
This 252-nucleotide ribosomal RNA is filed under the name uncultured Actinomycetales bacterium. Its description in RNAcentral is "partial 16S ribosomal RNA". It matches the Rfam family "Bacterial small subunit ribosomal RNA", at positions 77 to 334 of the family's 1533-position model. Lineage: Bacteria; Bacillati; Actinomycetota; Actinomycetes; Actinomycetales. The record is from RNAcentral.